GAUGAACGCUGGCGGCGUGCCUAAUACAUGCAAGUCGAGCGAACGGACCAGAAGCUUUCUUCUCUGAUUUUAUCGGCGGUCGGGUGCUUAACACGUGGAUAACCUACCUCUCCGACUGGGAUACCUUCGGGAAACCGUAUCUAAUACCGGAUGAUUUUUUGAACCUCAUUGUUCAAAAGUUAAAGACGCUCUUUCUGUCACUUAUAGAUUGCUCCGCGCUGCAUUAGCUAGUUGGUAAGGUAACGGCUUACCAAGGCAACGAUGCAUAGCCGACCUGAGAGGGAGGAUGGACAGACGGGAAGAGAGAAAGGGGAGAGACACCGAGGGGAAGAAGCAGUAGGGAAUCUUACGGGAGGGAGGAAAGCGGGACGGAGCAAAGCCGCGGGAGGGAUGAAGGUCUUAGGGUCGUAAAACGAUGAUAUUAGGGAAGAACAUAUGUGUAAGUAACUGUGAACAUCAUGACGGUACCGAAUCAGAAAGCUACGGCUAACUACGUG
Molecule: ribosomal RNA, 497 nt
Filed under: uncultured bacterium
Lineage: Bacteria
Description: partial 16S ribosomal RNA
Rfam family: Bacterial small subunit ribosomal RNA
Source: RNAcentral